AUAGUAUUUUGUCUUUUGAUUCAGAUGGCAGUGCUAACACGAGACUAGUGUGAGCUGCCGAUUUACCAAAAAAAAAGGCGUGGCUUGAAAAAAAUUCAUCAAGUCGGUGCAUCUCCUGCAGCGGGUGUUAGGCCCAGCCUCAUUGAGCCAGCCUGUUGGCUCGGCCCAGCUUUUGAACGCGGUCUGAAGGCCUGUCCGGACGAGAACCAGAGCAGAGCCCUGAUUGAGCACGGCAGAGAAGGACGAGUCCUCCUCUUCCUC
Molecule: long non-coding RNA, 261 nt
Filed under: Phoenix dactylifera (date palm)
Lineage: Eukaryota; Viridiplantae; Streptophyta; Magnoliopsida; Arecales; Arecaceae
Description: long non-coding RNA (PDAC_LNC008878)
Source: RNAcentral